This 253-nucleotide ribosomal RNA is filed under the name uncultured bacterium. RNAcentral's name for it is "partial 16S ribosomal RNA". It matches the Rfam family "Bacterial small subunit ribosomal RNA", at positions 524 to 776 of the family's 1533-position model. The record is from RNAcentral.
UACGAGUGGUGCAAGCGUUGUUCGGAAUUACUGGGCGUAGAGCGCACGUAGGUGGGUCUUUAAGUCGAUUGUGAAAUCCCGGGGCUUAACCUCGGAAUUGCAGUCGAAACUAUUGAUCUUGAAUGCCUGAGAGGAUGUCGGAAUUCCCGGUGUAGAAGUGAAAUUCGUAGAUAUCGGGAGGAACACCUGAGGCGAAGGCGGAUGUCUGGCGGUGCAUUGACACUGAGGUGCGAAAGCGUGGGUAGCAAACAGG